RNAcentral lists this ribosomal RNA (430 nucleotides) under uncultured Chlamydiae bacterium. RNAcentral describes it as "bacterial SSU rRNA". It matches the Rfam family "Bacterial small subunit ribosomal RNA", at positions 958 to 1385 of the family's 1533-position model. Lineage: Bacteria; Pseudomonadati; Chlamydiota; Chlamydiia. The record is from RNAcentral.
AACGCGAAGAACCUUACCUGGUCUUGACAUAUUUAGGACAUCAGUAGAAAUAUUGAGUUCCCGCAAGGGACCUUUUUACAGGUGCUGCAUGGCUGUCGUCAGCUCGUGCCGUGAGGUGUUGGGUUAAGUCCCGCAACGAGCGCAACCCUUGUCGUUAGUUGCCAACGCGUAAUGGCGGGCACUCUAGCGAGACUGCCUCGGUUAACGAGGAGGAAGGUGAGGAUGACGUCAAGUCCGCAUGGCCCUUAUGACCAGGGCUACACACGUGCUACAAUGGUCGGUACAGAAGGAAGCCAAAUCGUGAGAUGGAGCAAAUCCCAAAAAGCCGGCCCCAGUUCAGAUUGUAGUCUGCAACUCGACUACAUGAAGAUGGAAUUGCUAGUAAUGGCGAGUCAGCAACACCGCCGUGAAUACGUUCCCGGGCCUUGUA